AGCCCGUACUAGCUCGACCACACCAACCAAAAUAAACUCAACAAACCCACUCCAUCACCUAAACCAAAACAUUCUCUAAACCCAGUAUAGGCGAUAGAAAAGGACCCUUCCCCCCCGACGCAAUAGUUAAUCCGUACCGUAAGGGAAAGCUGAAAUAAUAAUGAAAAACCAAGCAGCAAACAGCAAAGAUAGACCCUUGUACCUUUUGCAUCAUGAUCUAGCAAGAAUAACCAAGCAAAAAGGACUUAAGCUUGUCUCCCCGAAACCCAAGCGAGCUACUUGCAAGCAGCUAUUUGAGCAAACCCGUCUCUGUUGCAAAAGAGUGGGAUGACUUGCUAGUAGAGGUGAAAAGCCAACCGAGCUGGGUGAUAGCUGGUUACCUGUGAAACGAAUCUAAGUUCUCCCUUGGAUGCUCCCCCUGGACACUAAACCCAACCCACAUGUAGCAACCAAAAGAUACUUAAAGGAGGUACAGCUCCUUUAAAAAAGAUUACAAUCUCCUUUAGAGGAUAACUACUGAAACUUACUCUCAACAUACUGUAGGCCUUCAAGCAGCCACCAAUAAAGAGUGCGUCAAAGCUCUACACAUAAAAAUACAAGUACAACAUGACUCCCUUUCACAUUAACAGGUUAACCUAUCACAAUAGGAGAAUUAAUGCUAGAAUGAGUAACUAGGGACUUCCCCUCUUCAGCGCAAACUUACAUCCCCACAUUAUUAACAAACCCCCAUUAUAAUAUUUUAACUGCAACAAGACUAAAUAUUACACCCAAUUGUUACCCCAACUCUGGAGCGCCCAAUUAGAAUGAUUAAAAUCUGUAAAAGGAACUAGGCAAACUCAGAGCCCGACUGUUUACCAAAAACAUAGCCUUCAGCCAGCCAAGUAUUGAAGGUGAUGCCUGCCCAGUGACAUACGUUCAACGGCCGCGGUAUCCUAACCGUGCGAAGGUAGCGCAAUCAAUUGUCCCAUAAAUCGAGACUUGUAUGAAUGGCUAAACGAGGUUCUAACUGUCUCUUACAGAUAAUCAGUGAAAUUGAUCUCCCUGUGCAAAAGCAGGGAUAACUACACAAGACGAGAAGACCCUGUGGAACUUCAAAAUCAACGGCCACCACAUUCCUAACCCAAGCCUACUAGGCUCACUACAAAUACUCACUGGCCCGUAUUUUUCGGUUGGGGCGACCUUGGAGAAAAACAAACCCUCCAAAAACAAGACCACACCUCUUAAUCAAGAGCAACCCCUCAACGUACUAACAGUAACCAGACCCAAUACAUUUGACUAAUGAACCAAGCUACCCCAGGGAUAACAGCGCAAUCUCCUCCAAGAGCCCACAUCGACGAGGAGGUUUACGACCUCGAUGUUGGAUCAGGACAUCCUAAUGGUGCAGCCGCUAUUAAGGGUUCGUUUGUUCAACGAUUAACAGUCCUACGUGAUCUGAGUUCAGACCGGAGCAAUCCAGGUCGGUUUCUAUCUGUGAUAAACUUCCUCCAGUACGAAAGGACCGAGAAAGUGGGGCCAAUACCACAAGCACGCCCUCCUACAAGUAAUGAAUUCAACUAAAUUACUAAAAAGCUACUCAACCCUACUCCUAGAAAAGGACCGCUAGUGUGGCAGAGCCCGGC
This 1619-nucleotide ribosomal RNA is filed under the name Vanellus cinereus (grey-headed lapwing). Its description in RNAcentral is "16S ribosomal RNA". It matches the Rfam family "Bacterial large subunit ribosomal RNA". Lineage: Eukaryota; Metazoa; Chordata; Aves; Charadriiformes; Charadriidae. The record is from RNAcentral.